Molecule: long non-coding RNA, 2666 nt
Organism: Brachypodium distachyon (stiff brome)
Lineage: Eukaryota; Viridiplantae; Streptophyta; Magnoliopsida; Poales; Poaceae
Exons: 3
Source: RefSeq, a predicted model, not a curated record
CAGCUAGAUCUCUCUCCCCUGAGCCCCUCUCUUUCUCUCCCGUGCGCAGCGAAGUCCUGCCCGCGGAGCUCUCCACCAUAUCCUACACCACGCCGUCGUGCUGCCGGGAUCUCGUCAACCUCUCCCCCUCGUCUUGCUGGAUCAAGAAGGAGGAGACGACAUCAAACCGUACGUGUGGAUACCAAGGAGGUGCUGUACAUUCGGCAUUGAGAUCGAUUUCAUCGAAAGUACCACUACGCCAACAAUGAUCCCGUGAUCGUAACGCUUUGUGGUCUACGAGGAACUCGCUUGGCGCUGUUAAUUGGCCAGUGGAGGAUGGUCAAGACUCGAGAGAAGCAUCCUAUGUGCUACUAGGUGAGAGAGAAUAUACACGUUACCGCUAGAAAGUUUGACUGAGGUGCACGGUGUCCUACCCCACGAUCCUAAAUUGCAUGCGUGAAAUCGAAAGGUGCGUAGUUAAACCAGAACAGAACUUCAUUUUGCAUGGUAGACUGUGCAAGUGGUGGCUUCAUCGGUACAGUUGCAACCGAUUCUUGGUCACCCUGGUCACGCUUGACGUUCUGGUCCUAGACAUCUCUUCGUCCAAACGCAAGACCAUCAGUCCAGGACAGUGAGCAUUUUAUUUGUCUCUCCUCUCCUCUUUUAAAAAGCGGUUGUUUUAUUUUCCACUAUUAUUUUAUAAAAAUGUACUCCGUAUAUGAAUGUUUAUAAUUGGCACAUGUUAUGAGAAAUCCACAACUUCUGAAAAUUUUAUCACCUGACCUAGCUUUUAUGCCAGAUCUGACUUGUGGGGUCUAGUGACCUAGCCGGGUGAUUGUGUGGGGCAUGCCGCAACCUAGUAAUUUUUUAAUUUCUUUUUAUUAGUAGAAUAUUAAAAAAAACAGGAAAAAAAGUAAAACCACAAUGUACUGACCGACCCAAUUUGAAAACGCAAUGUCUUUGUCUCACCCAAUGUUGAAAACAUGGGUUCGCCACGCGUGGGGUCCACACCUCUGCAUCCAUAUCCGAAAUAUGGUCUGUUUUUGCUUUCCCGGUUCACACCUGCUUGGUUUGAUCCCAGUCAAGGCCCAAUUAAGGGACAUAAGAACGGGAAAGCAUAGGCGAUCACACCGCAGAAACUGCCGCUUCAAUCCAUGGCGCCACAAAUCGACAUCGACGAGCCACAGCCAUCAUCACCUCUUGAGACUCGCCUCGUCGGGCUCAGUGAUGUGGAGGUGAAAUUACUAGGUCGAACCAUCAGGCCACGCAGGUGAAGCCAUACGACUAGCUUCAGUGCAUCUUCACUUUUCCCUUGUCUCGUCUCUUUUCUUCAAUUAAGAUGCACCUAAUCCUAAAAUCCAUGUCUUUUCGAACCAACUAUCAUGGUUUUGUAUUUUGAAAUAUAGACAAAAGAUUAGCCCCUCCUCCAAUAAUAAAGUGAGAAAGAGCUAAGACAAAACAAGGCAACAAAUCAAAACAGCCACAAACCAAGGAAACAUCAAUACUUGUGUUUUCAUUCAUGUAGAAUUCGAUAUGGCAUUGGUAUUUUAUUCAUAUGUUUUAGCACACAUGUGUUUCAAAAAAAAAAUCCCUUAAUGUAAAGCCGUGUAUUGAUCCAAAGGUUACAAUGUAUCCGAGAUUCUGACAAUCUUUUGAAAUGUAGUACUCUAUAUCUAAAAAGCGUUUAGAUACAUGUAAUAUUUCGGCACUUAAUAUAGGACGGAGGAAGUAGUAUGUAUGCAAUGACUAUCCGUAUGUUUAGUUUUGUUUUUUCACUUUCCUCAAGACCCUUCUUGUGCUGAAAUACUAUAGAAGGUGUGAAAUUUUAAAAGGAGCUGGUAUCAAACAUGAUCCUACAAAAGGAACACACCAUUACCAAAUAUUUUAAAGGGAGAAAGUUGGGAUAUGUGGAUAGAAGUAUUCGCGUGAUGCUUUUCUUUUCUGGUAGUGCAAUGGUGCGGCCGGGGUCCUUUUCUUUUGGCUCUUUCCACUUUUAAUUUUCGGAUGCCAUGAGAGAAUUAUUGGCCACCCGAAUAUUCCCUGCCACAAAAAUGGUUGGAAGAAUAUGUUCCAAGGAGCCUUGGUUAAUCAUUGAAAACUCCAAACGCUAGGCACACCUGAGCUGAGUUGAGCUGAUCAGGUUGGUGAGGAAUAUGUGGAGUUAAUGUAAGCUCGGGCAGAGCAGUAACACCAAACGCAAUUAAGUCAAGGAUGGAUCCCAUCAUCCCUGGUAAAACUGCAUGCCUCCAUUCCUGAAGUUACACUGAUUUGCUGCUAAAAGAGGGUCCGUGAUAUAAUUGAUAGGAGUAUAUGCUACUCCUAUGUGGUAGGAGCGCGAUGGGUGUGGUUCCAUUAACGGAAGUACUACGGUAGUUUACCGAGCGUUAACACGGAUCGCCCAAAGCUGCAUGCGCAGUCAAAAGCGGGUGCCACGCAGCGCAGGAGUUGGUUGGGACUUGGGACGAGACGACGGCGACGUCCCAAAGCGUGCUUAUCCAGUUAUCCUCGAGGAAGAAUGAAAAAGAGAGCAGGGGAGGCACUGGGCAGACAGACAGAGAGCAGCGGGGGAAAGGCCAUGAGCCCAUGAUCCGAUCGCCAUGGAGAUGGACGCACGUUGUUCGACCGGCGGGGCAUCGGAUCCAGAAACUAAAGGAAAUCGACGCACAUGGUGCACGUACACAUCGCCG